GUCUUCUUGGCUCAGUUGGCAGAGCGUCUGCCUAGUAAACAGAAGGUCGUCGGUUCGAUUUCGACAGAAGGCA
RNAcentral lists this transfer RNA (73 nucleotides) under Zancudomyces culisetae. It matches the Rfam family "tRNA". Rfam says of the family: Transfer RNA (tRNA) molecules are approximately 80 nucleotides in length. Lineage: Eukaryota; Fungi; Kickxellomycota; Harpellomycetes; Harpellales; Legeriomycetaceae. The record is from Rfam by way of RNAcentral.